AGCUAGAGUUUGAUCCUGGCUCAGAGCGAACGCUGGCGGCAGGCCUAAUACAUGCAAGUCGAACGCACCUUCGGGUGAGUGGCGGACGGGUGAGUAACGCGUGGGAACGUGCCCAAAGGUACGGAACAACUGAGGGAAACUUCAGCUAAUACCGUAUGUGCCCUUAGGGGGAAAGAUUUAUCGCCUUUGGAGCGGCCCGCGUUGGAUUAGCUAGUUGGUGGGGUAAAGGCCUACCAAGGCUACGAUCCAUAGCUGGUCUGAGAGGAUGAUCAGCCACACUGGGACUGAGACGCGGCCCAGACUCCUACGGGAGGCAGCAGUGGGGAAUAUUGGACAAUGGGGGCAACCCUGAUCCAGCAAUGCCGCGUGGGCGAUGAAGGCCUUCGGGUUGUAAAGCCCUUUUGCACGCGACGAUGAUGACGGUAGCGUGAGAAGAAGCCCCGGCUAACUUCGUGCCAGCAGCCGCGGUA
This 470-nucleotide ribosomal RNA is filed under the name uncultured bacterium. RNAcentral's name for it is "bacterial SSU rRNA". It matches the Rfam family "Bacterial small subunit ribosomal RNA", at positions 1 to 522 of the family's 1533-position model. The record is from RNAcentral.